CGCGCUCGCGCUCGACGGUGUCCUGAAGCGCGCUCCCGGGGAGGUGUUGCAGCCAUGGCGACGGCAGCCGGCGCGGCCUACUUUCAGCGAGGCAGUCUGUUCUGGUUCACAGUCAUCACCCUCAGCUUUGGCUACUACACAUGGGUUGUCUUCUGGCCUCAGAGUAUCCCUUAUCAGAACCUUGGGCCCCUGGGCCCCUUCACUCAGUACUUGGUGGACCACCAUCACACCCUCCUGUGCAAUGGGUAUUGGCUUGCCUGGCUGAUUCAUGUGGGAGAGUCCUUGUAUGCCAUAGUAUUGUGCAAGUAAGUCUUUGAAGCAUAAAGGCAUCACAAGUGGUCGGGCUCAGCUACUCUGGUUCCUACAGACUUUCUUCUUUGGGAUAGUGUCUCUCACCAUCUUGAUUGCUUACAAAGGGAAACGCCAAAAACAAACUUGAAGUUGUCUGAAAGCUUGCUCUACACUUUUACAUUCAUCCUCACCUUUUUUUUGUGGGGUAGAGGAGGUGCAGUAUUUACUCAGUGAUCUUUCUACUUUCUGGAAACUGUCCUUCAAAGCUCUUUAAGACCCCCUCGUUAGUCAGUUUUUUCUCUUAUAUGCUCUGGUUGAGCUUGAAUAGACCAGUUAUUACUUAAGAAGAAACAGAGAAAGAUUUUAGCUUUUCAAUCCUAUUUGGCAGAGGACUUCAGCUACCUUCUUACGGUCUUUGGCUGUGUUGGUGCCCUUGUGUGCUCUGAGCUAAGCCACAUACUAAAUUGACUUUUUGGUUUGUAUACCCUUGCUCCCGCCUUCUGAUGAAAACACCUUACCCUCACAACCAC
RNAcentral lists this small RNA (821 nucleotides) under Pongo abelii (Sumatran orangutan). RNAcentral describes it as "processed transcript". The record is from RNAcentral. Lineage: Eukaryota; Metazoa; Chordata; Mammalia; Primates; Hominidae.